This 483-nucleotide ribosomal RNA is filed under the name uncultured bacterium. RNAcentral's name for it is "bacterial SSU rRNA". It matches the Rfam family "Bacterial small subunit ribosomal RNA", at positions 30 to 507 of the family's 1533-position model. The record is from RNAcentral.
AUUGAACGCUGGCGGAAUGCUUUACACAUGCAAGUCGAACGGUAACAGGUCUUCGGAUGCUGACGAGUGGCGAACGGGUGAGUAAUAUAUCGGAACGUGCCCAGUCGUGGGGGAUAACGUAGCGAAAGUUACGCUAAUACCGCAUACGAUCUACGGAUGAAAGCGGGGGAUCGCAAGACCUCGCGCGAUUGGAGCGGCCGAUAUCAGAUUAGGUAGUUGGUGGGGUAAAGGCUCACCAAGCCAACGAUCUGUAGCUGGUCUGAGAGGACGACCAGCCACACUGGAACUGAGACACGGUCCAGACUCCUACGGGAGGCAGCAGUGGGGAAUUUUGGACAAUGGACGCAAGUCUGAUCCAGCCAUUCCGCGUGCAGGAUGAAGGCCCUCGGGUUGUAAAACUGCUUUUGUACGGAACGAAAAGGUUUCUAUUAAUACUAGGAGCUCAUGACGGUACCGUAAGAAUAAGCACCGGCUAACUACGUG